This 253-nucleotide ribosomal RNA is filed under the name uncultured bacterium. RNAcentral describes it as "partial 16S ribosomal RNA". It matches the Rfam family "Bacterial small subunit ribosomal RNA", at positions 524 to 776 of the family's 1533-position model. The record is from RNAcentral.
UACGUAGGGCGCAAGCGUUGUCCGGAAUUAUUGGGCGUAAAGAGCUCGUAGGCGGCUUGUCACGUCGGGUGUGAAAGCCCGGGGCUUAACCCCGGGUCUGCAUUCGAUACGGGCUAGCUAGAGUGUGGUAGGGGAGAUCGGAAUUCCUGGUGUAGCGGUGAAAUGCUUAGAUAUCGUCAAGAACACCGAUAGCGAAGGCAGCUUACUGGGCUGUAACUGACGCUGAGGCACGAAAGCGUGGGGAGCAAACAGG